AUGGUUCAAGAAAGAUGUCCUUGGAAGGAAAAAGAAGGUUGGAUUCAGCGCAUCAUUUUUACUUUACAGAGUCCUAUCUUUACAGCAGUCCUUCUCAACUCCAGGUCCGGGAGAAAAGUAAGCCCUGAGGUCCUGAGACAUCCAUGGAAUAGAAUCAAUUCACUUUCCCCCUGCACUCCUGGAAUGAUCCUUGCUAAGUACUAGUAGCUUUUGGAACAUUGAGAAAAAAAAAUUCACUCCCAUUAUGUUCUUCAGCGCUUAAUCCUCUCACAGAGCCUCUUUAAAAGGCUGGCCUAUUCUCUGCUGCGCCUGCCCAGUGUUUUAUUUGGGCCCCACCCUACAUAGUCAGGCACCUUCUUCUAAGAAGGAGCCAACUCACUAUGUCCCAUGUAAAAGACAACAGCCAGGCCAGAGCCAUCUGGAGAGUUCUAGCCCAGCUCCAGAAGGCGGGUACUACCUGGCAUGUUCACUCUGGAUUUAAAAUCUAGUCUGGGCAGUUAAAAAUGGUAGCCACUAGCCAUAUAGCUAUUUAGAUUUAAAUUUAAAUAGAAUUUCAAAUUUAGUUCCCUGGUUUCACUAGCCACAUCUCAAGUGUUUGAUAGCCACCAUAUUGAAUAGCUUCCAUCACUACCGACAGUUUUAUUUUGCUGUUGUUUGUUUGUUUUUUGGUUUUGAGACAGAGUUUUUCACUCUUGUUGCUCAGGCUGGAGUGCAAUGGCACGAUCUUGGCUCACUGCAACCUCUGCUGCCCGGGUUCAAGUGAUUCUCCUGCCCCAGCCUCCCGAGUAGCUGGGAUUAUAGGCAUGCACCACCACGCCCAGCUAAUUUUGUAUUUUUAGUAGGGACGGGGUUUCUCCAUGUUGGUCAGUCUGGUCUCGAACUCCUGACCUCAGGUGUUCCACCCGCCUAGGCCUCCGAAAGUGCUGGGAUUACAGGCAUGAGCCACUGCGCCCGGCCUACCACCAACAGUUUUAUUGGAGGGCCCUGGUAGACUGUGAUUGUGAGGUGAGCCCGGAACUACACCAAGAGGACAUCCUUGCUCCAGACUUCACUGAGUCCACAGAGGGAAUACUUGAGAAUGUCCAAGCCCACAUCAUGGGAUGAGAACUAUAUGCAGCUAUUCCGUAGCUCUAAAAAUAAAUAAUUAUAAUAUUAAAGACAUCAACUUAAACAUAGAUAUGAACACUAAAUAGAUAAACACUAAAGUCAAUUGGUAUUAACUUCCCAUCUCUGCAGCAUGCUGUGGGGCAAAGAGUGGUGCUGGUCUGGGUACAUCCGUGUCUCCCUUGUCCUGCUCCCAGAUCCAACUGCUCCUUUCAUUUCUCUCCAUCUACAUUGAAAUGUUUUCUAUACACAGUGUAGGGAGUUUUCAGGCUCUCCUUUUGCAAUGCUCAAAGUGAUUUUUUUUUUUGUCUCCUUAGCUUGCUAAGGAAAUCUGGCAAAUGUUGGGUAGAAGCAUGUACAUUCUAGCUCUUCGGAAAAAGUUUUACAUAUUUUUUCCAAUUUUGUUAUUGUGGUGAAAUAUGCAUAACAUGAAAGUUACCAUUUUAACCAUUUUCAAGUGUACAGUUCAGUGGUAUUCAAUACCAUCAUAAGCUCAGGCAGCCAUCAUCAUAGUCCUUCUCCAGAACUUUCUCACACUCCUGCUCUGAAAUUCUGUGCCCAUUAAACACUAACUCCCCAUUCCCCGCCUCCCAGUCCCUGGCAACCACCGUUCUAUUCUCUGUAUAUGAAUCUGACAGCUCUAGGUUCCUUGUACAAAUGGAAUCAUGGGAUAUUUGUAUUUUUGUGACUGGCGUCUUUCACUUAGCAUAAUGUCCUCAGGGUUCAUUCAUGUUCUAAUCGGUGGCAAAAUUUCCUUCCCUUUUAAAGCUGAAUAAUACUCCAUUGCGUGUACAUUUUUAAUUUAUUUUUUUAAUUUAACAUUAAUGGAUUAGUA
This is a long non-coding RNA of Macaca mulatta (Rhesus monkey), 1939 nucleotides long. The record is from Ensembl. NCBI's taxonomy places the organism in Eukaryota, Metazoa, Chordata, Mammalia, Primates, Cercopithecidae.